RNAcentral lists this ribosomal RNA (1485 nucleotides) under uncultured bacterium. RNAcentral describes it as "bacterial SSU rRNA". It matches the Rfam family "Bacterial small subunit ribosomal RNA". The record is from RNAcentral.
AGAGUUUGAUUAUGGCUCAGGACGAACGCUGGCGGCGUGCUUAACACAUGCAAGUCGAACGGAAAGGCCCUGCUUUUGUGGGGUGCUCGAGUGGCGAACGGGUGAGUAACACGUGAGUAACCUGCCCUUGACUUUGGGAUAACUUCAGGAAACUGGGGCUAAUACCGGAUAGGAGCUCCUGCUGCAUGGUGGGGGUUGGAAAGUUUCGGCGGUUGGGGAUGGACUCGCGGCUUAUCAGCUUGUUGGUGGGGUAGUGGCUUACCAAGGCUUUGACGGGUAGCCGGCCUGAGAGGGUGACCGGCCACAUUGGGACUGAGAUACGGCCCAGACUCCUACGGGAGGCAGCAGUGGGGAAUAUUGCGCAAUGGGCGGAAGCCUGAUGCAGCAACGCCGCGUGCGGGAUGACGGCCUUCGGGUUGUAAACCGCUUUCGCCUGUGACGAAGCGUGAGUGACGGUAAUGGGUAAAGAAGCACCGGCUAACUACGUGCCAGCAGCCGCGGUGAUACGUAGGGUGCGAGCGUUGUCCGGAUUUAUUGGGCGUAAAGGGCUCGUAGGUGGUUGAUCGCGUCGGAAGUGUAAUCUUGGGGCUUAACCCUGAGCGUGCUUUCGAUACGGGUUGACUUGAGGAAGGUAGGGGAGAAUGGAAUUCCUGGUGGAGCGGUGGAAUGCGCAGAUAUCAGGAGGAACACCAGUGGCGAAGGCGGUUCUCUGGGCCUUUCCUGACGCUGAGGAGCGAAAGCGUGGGGAGCGAACAGGCUUAGAUACCCUGGUAGUCCACGCUGUAAACGGUGGGUACUAGGUGUGGGGUCCAUUCCACGGGUUCCGUGCCGUAGCUAACGCUUUAAGUACCCCGCCUGGGGAGUACGGCCGCAAGGCUAAAACUCAAAGGAAUUGACGGGGCCCCGCACAAGCGGCGGAGCAUGCGGAUUAAUUCGAUGCAACGCGUAGAACCUUACCUGGGUUUGACAUGGAUCGGGAGUGCUCAGAGAUGGGUGUGCCUCUUUUGGGGUCGGUUCACAGGUGGUGCAUGGCUGUCGUCAGCUCGUGUCGUGAGAUGUUGGGUUAAGUCCCGCAACGAGCGCAACCCUUGUUCACUGUUGCCAGCACGUUAUGGUGGGGACUCAGUGGAGACCGCCGGGGUCAACUCGGAGGAAGGUGGGGAUGACGUCAAGUCAUCAUGCCCCUUAUGUCCAGGGCUUCACGCAUGCUACAAUGGCUGGUACAGAGAGUGGCGAGCCUGUGAGGGUGAGCGAAUCUUGGUAAGCCGGUCUCAGUUCGGAUUGGGGUCUGUAACUCGACCUCAUGAAGUCGGAGUCGCUAGUAAUCGCAGAUCAGCAACGCUGCGGUGAAUACGUUCCCGGGGCUUGUACACACCGCCCGUCAAGUCAUGAAAGUUGGUAACACCCGAAGCCGGUGGCCUAACCGUUGUGGGGGAGCCGUCGAAGGUGGGACUGGUGAUUAGGACUAAGUCGUAACAAGGUAUC